This 414-nucleotide ribosomal RNA is filed under the name uncultured bacterium. RNAcentral's name for it is "bacterial SSU rRNA". It matches the Rfam family "Bacterial small subunit ribosomal RNA", at positions 115 to 518 of the family's 1533-position model. The record is from RNAcentral.
ACGUGAGCAACCUGCCUUGAGUGGGGAAAACCGUUGGAAACGACGGCUAAUACCGAAUGUGGCGCCGGGAGACAUCUCCCGAACGCUAAAGGGGGCGAAAGCUCUCCCUCUCGAGGGGCUCGCGCACCAUCAGCUUGUUGGCGGGGUAACGGCCCACCAAGGCUUACGGUUAGCUGGUCUGAGAGGAUGGCCAGCCGCACUGGGACUGAGAUACUGCCCAGACUCCUACGGGAGGCUGCAGUCGAGGAUCAUUCGCAAUGGGGGAAACCCUGACGAUGCGACGCUGCGUGGAGGAUGAAAAGGCCUUCGGGUUGUAAACUCCUGUCAUGAUGGAAAAGGAGAGGGGACCUAAUACGUCCUUGAUUUGAUGGUACAUCAAGAGGAAGAGACGGCUAACUCUGUGCCAGCCGCCGC